GGAAGUAAAAGUCGUAAAAGGUUUCCGUAGGUGAACCUGCGGAAGGAUCAUUAUUGUAUAACCGAGGUGCGAGGGCUGUCGCUGACCCGAAAGGUCGUGCACGCCCGAGUGCCCUCACACACAUCCAUCUCACCCCUAUGUGCACCACCGCGUGGGUCCCCCUUUGGCUUGUUCGGAGGGGGGCUUACGUUUUCACACAAACUUUGUAUGCAGUGUAGAAUGUAUUUUUUGUUUUUGCGAUCACGCAAUCAAUACAACUCUCAACAACGGAUCUCUUGGCUCUC
This 284-nucleotide unclassified non-coding RNA is filed under the name plant metagenome. RNAcentral's name for it is "partial contains small subunit ribosomal RNA, internal transcribed spacer 1, and 5.8S ribosomal RNA". The stretch from base 1 to 53 matches the Rfam family "Eukaryotic small subunit ribosomal RNA", at positions 1778 to 1831 of the family's 1831-position model. The record is from RNAcentral.